This 88-nucleotide transfer RNA is filed under the name Candidatus Buchananbacteria bacterium CG10_big_fil_rev_8_21_14_0_10_42_9. RNAcentral describes it as "tRNA-Leu". It matches the Rfam family "tRNA". Rfam says of the family: Transfer RNA (tRNA) molecules are approximately 80 nucleotides in length. Their secondary structure includes four short double-helical elements and three loops (D, anti-codon, and T loops). Further hydrogen bonds mediate the characteristic L-shaped molecular structure. tRNAs have two regions of fundamental functional importance: the anti-codon, which is responsible for specific mRNA codon recognition, and the 3' end, to which the tRNAs corresponding amino acid is attached (by aminoacyl-tRNA synthetases). tRNAs cope with the degeneracy of the genetic code in two manners: having more than one tRNA (with a specific anti-codon) for a particular amino acid; and 'wobble' base-pairing, i.e. permitting non-standard base-pairing at the 3rd anti-codon position. Lineage: Bacteria; Candidatus Buchananiibacteriota. The record is from RNAcentral.
GGGGACGUGGUGGAAUUGGUAGACACGCAGGCUUGAGGGGCCUGUCCUCAUUAUGAGGGUGGAGGUUCAAAUCCUCUCGUCCCCACCA